AAUGAACGCUGGCGGCGCGCCUAAUACAUGCAAGUCGAGCGAGAAGACGUAGCAAUACGUUUGUAAAGCGGCGAACGGGUGAGGAAUACAUGGGUAACCUACCCUCGAGUGGGGAGUAACUAGCCGAAGGUUAGCUAAUACCGCGUACGCUCCUUGGACUUCGGUUCUAGGGAGGGAAAGACGAUACCGUGGGUAGUCGCGCUCUUGGUUGGGCGUCAUGUCCUAUC
RNAcentral lists this ribosomal RNA (227 nucleotides) under uncultured bacterium. RNAcentral describes it as "partial 16S ribosomal RNA". It matches the Rfam family "Bacterial small subunit ribosomal RNA", at positions 29 to 242 of the family's 1533-position model. The record is from RNAcentral.